GUGAAUCAUCGAAUCUUUGAACGCACAUUGCGCCCGCCAGUAUUCUGGCGGGCAUGCCUGUUCGAGCGUCAUUUCAACCCUCAAGCCCCCGGGCUUGGUGUUGGGGCUCGGCCCGCCCCUAGCGGCGCGCCGUCCCCGAAAUCUAGUGGCGGUCUCGCGAUAGCCUCCUCUGCGUAGUAGCAAUAUCUCGCACUGGAACGUCGCAAGGCCUCGCCGUUAAACCCCCCACUUCUGAAAGGUUGACCUCGGAUCAGGUAGGAAUACCCGCUGAACUUAAGCAUAUCAAUAAGCGGAGGA
RNAcentral lists this unclassified non-coding RNA (297 nucleotides) under Microcera sp. RNAcentral's name for it is "partial contains 5.8S ribosomal RNA, internal transcribed spacer 2, and large subunit ribosomal RNA". The stretch from base 1 to 71 matches the Rfam family "5.8S ribosomal RNA", at positions 84 to 154 of the family's 154-position model. The record is from RNAcentral. Lineage: Eukaryota; Fungi; Ascomycota; Sordariomycetes; Hypocreales; Nectriaceae.